RNAcentral lists this ribosomal RNA (504 nucleotides) under uncultured bacterium. RNAcentral's name for it is "partial 16S ribosomal RNA". It matches the Rfam family "Bacterial small subunit ribosomal RNA", at positions 28 to 507 of the family's 1533-position model. The record is from RNAcentral.
GACGAACGCUGGCGGCGUGCCAAUCCAUGCAAGUAGAACGCACAGUUUAUACCGUAGCUUGCUAAACCAUAGACUGUGAGUUGCGAACGGGUGAGUAACGCGUAGGUAACCUGCCUGGUAGCGGGGGAUAACUAUUGGAAACGAUAGCUAAUACCGCAUAAUAUUGAUUAUUGCAUGAUAAUUGAUUGAAAGAUGCUAUUGCAUCACUAACAGAUGGACCUGCGUUGUAUUAGCUAGUAGGUGAGGUAACGGCUCACCUAGGCGACGAUACAUAGCCGACCUGAGAGGGUGAUCGGCCACACUGGGACUGAGACACGGCCCAGACUCCUACGGGAGGCAGCAGUAGGGAAUCUUCGGCAAUGGACGAAAGUCUGACCGAGCAACGCCGCGUGAGUGAAGAAGGUUGUCGGAUCGUAAAGCUCUGUUGUAAGAGAAGAACGGGUGUGAGAGUGGAAAGUUCACACUGUGACGGUAUCUUACCAGAAAGGGACGGCUAACUACGUG